UACGGAGGGGGCGAGCGUUAUUCGGAAUUAUUGGGCGUAAAGGGCGCGUAGGUGGCCCUGUAAGUCAAAGGUGAAAUCCCUCGGCUCAACCGAGGAAUUGCCCUUGAAACUGCAGGGCUUGAGGCCGGGAGGGGGUAGCGGAAUUCCCAGUGUAGCGGUGAAAUGCGUAGAUACUGGGAGGAACACCGGUGGCGAAGGCGGCUACCUGGACCGGUUCUGACACUGAUGCGCGAAAGCGUGGGUAGCAAACAGGAUUAGAUACCCUGGUAGUCCACGCUGUAAACGAUGGGUGCUCGGUGUCGCGGGUAUCGACCCCUGCGGUGCCUUAGCUAACGCGUUAAGCACCCCGCCUGGGGAGUACGGUCGCAAGGCUGAA
RNAcentral lists this ribosomal RNA (376 nucleotides) under uncultured bacterium. Its description in RNAcentral is "bacterial SSU rRNA". It matches the Rfam family "Bacterial small subunit ribosomal RNA", at positions 524 to 898 of the family's 1533-position model. The record is from RNAcentral.